RNAcentral lists this ribosomal RNA (625 nucleotides) under Fusarium cuneirostrum. RNAcentral describes it as "eukaryotic LSU rRNA". It matches the Rfam family "Eukaryotic large subunit ribosomal RNA", at positions 1 to 648 of the family's 3401-position model. Lineage: Eukaryota; Fungi; Ascomycota; Sordariomycetes; Hypocreales; Nectriaceae. The record is from RNAcentral.
UUGACCUCGGAUCAGGUAGGAAUACCCGCUGAACUUAAGCAUAUCAAUAAGCGGAGGAAAAGAAACCAACAGGGAUUGCCUCAGUAACGGCGAGUGAAGCGGCAACAGCUCAAAUUUGAAAUCUGGCUCUCGGGCCCGAGUUGUAAUUUGUAGAGGAUGCUUUUGGUGCGGUGCCUUCCGAGUUCCCUGGAACGGGACGCCAUAGAGGGUGAGAGCCCCGUCUGGUUGGAUGCCAAUCCUCUGUAAAGCUCCUUCGACGAGUCGAGUAGUUUGGGAAUGCUGCUCUAAAUGGGAGGUAUAUGUCUUCUAAAGCUAAAUACCGGCCAGAGACCGAUAGCGCACAAGUAGAGUGAUCGAAAGAUGAAAAGAACUUUGAAAAGAGAGUUAAAAAGUACGUGAAAUUGUUGAAAGGGAAGCGCUUGUGACCAGACUUGGGCUUGGUUGAUCAUCCAGGGUUCUCCCUGGUGCACUCUUCCGGCCCAGGCCAGCAUCAGUUUGCCCCGGGGGAUAAAGGCGUCGGGAAUGUGGCUCCCUCCGGGGAGUGUUAUAGCCCGGCGCGCAAUACCCUGAGGCGGACUGAGGUUCGCGCAUUCGCAAGGAUGCUGGCGUAAUGGUCAUCAGUGAC